This 235-nucleotide long non-coding RNA is filed under the name Brassica napus (rape). RNAcentral's name for it is "long non-coding RNA (BNAP_LNC011935)". Lineage: Eukaryota; Viridiplantae; Streptophyta; Magnoliopsida; Brassicales; Brassicaceae. The record is from RNAcentral.
UCGAUUCAUCAUCUUCUGUUCAUCUUCCGCUUCGAUCUCAUUUCACAAUGGUCACUCUUCGUCGUUCGACGCGACGAUCAGUCCGUCUUGGCGGAUCAGCUGCAAAAUCAGCUAAUCCAGCUCGCACAUCUUCAUCAAACACCGUUCGGGUGCAAUCACAUCCUGAUCCACCUAUUCCGGUGACAAUAUCGGCGAAUCCAACACCAACGCAAGCUCCGAUUCCAUCAUUUCCGAC